GGGGAUGAUCGGUUUCGACGUGUGUGCUUUCCUCAGGGGAAGCGGGCCGAGAACGCUGAGUUAUCUCGUUAACGCCCUCAGCAAACCAAUAGGUGCCGAUUCCAAGCGCACCGACUUCGCCCUCGCUGCCUAAGCGAGCCCCGAAGUCCGUCAGCCCAGGCUAGUUCCCGUCCUGGUCCCUGGCGUCAUCUAGGGAACUUGCUCCACCUCCUCGUCACCGGGGGGUGGGGGACUCUUAGGUGACUGGGGCUAUCGCACAGCUUGUCUGAAGGUCGUGCGGGUCCGAGACACUGAACAUUCAGACUGCGCCCGGAGAAGAUCUGUCGUCGUACACGCGGACGCGGGUUCGAUUCCCGCCAUCUCCAC
RNAcentral lists this transfer-messenger RNA (366 nucleotides) under uncultured Demequina sp. It matches the Rfam family "transfer-messenger RNA". Rfam says of the family: Bacterial tmRNA, also known as 10Sa RNA or SsrA, is named for its dual tRNA and mRNA-like properties. Its role is to liberate the mRNA from a stalled ribosome. To accomplish this part of the tmRNA is used as a reading frame that ends in a translation stop signal. The record is from RNAcentral. Lineage: Bacteria; Bacillati; Actinomycetota; Actinomycetes; Micrococcales; Demequinaceae.